AGUGAACGCUGGCGGUAGGCCUAACACAUGCAAGUCGAACGGCAGCACAGUAAGAGCGUGCUUUUACGGGUGGCGAGUGGCGGAUGGGUGAGGAAUACAUCGGCAUCUACUUUUUCGUGGGGGACAACGUAGGGACACUUACGCUAAUACCGAAUACGAUCUACGGGUGAAAGCAGUGGAUCUUCGGACUUUGCGCGAUUCAUAUAGCCGAUGUCGGAUUAGCUAGUUGGCGAGGUAAAGGCACACCAAGGCGACGAUCCGUAGCUGGUCUGAGAGGAUGAUCGGCCACACUGGAACUGAGACACGGUCCAGACUCCUACGGGAGGCAGCAGUGGGGAAUAUUCGGCAAUGGGCGCAAGCCUGAUCCAGCCAUACCGCGUGGGUGAGGAAGGCCUUCGGGUUGUAAAGCCCUUUUGUUAGGGAAGAAAAACAGCGGAUGAAAACCUCGAUGUUCUGACGGUACCCAAUGAAUAAGCACCGGCUAACUUCGUG
This 492-nucleotide ribosomal RNA is filed under the name uncultured bacterium. RNAcentral's name for it is "partial 16S ribosomal RNA". It matches the Rfam family "Bacterial small subunit ribosomal RNA", at positions 29 to 507 of the family's 1533-position model. The record is from RNAcentral.